Molecule: ribosomal RNA, 377 nt
Filed under: uncultured bacterium
Lineage: Bacteria
Description: bacterial SSU rRNA
Rfam family: Bacterial small subunit ribosomal RNA
Source: RNAcentral
AUACGUAGAGUGCAAGCGUUGCCCGGAAUUAUUGGGCGUAAAGGGUACGCAGGCGGAUAAACAAGUCAAGCGUGAAAGGCGUCGGCUUAACCGACAGACUGCGUUUGAAACUGAUUAUCUUGAGUGUAACAGAGGAGAGUGGAAUUCCUAGUGUAGUGGUGAAAUACGUAGAUAUUAGGAAGAACACCAGUGGCGAAGGCGACUCUCUGGGUUAACACUGACGCUGAGGUACGAAAGCUGGGGGAGCGAACGGGAUUAGAUACCCCGGUAGUCCCAGCCGUAAACGAUGGAUACUAGGUGUUGGAGGUAUCGACCCCUUCUGUGCCGGAGUUAACACAAUAAGUAUCCCACCUGGGGAGUACGGCCGCAAGGUUGAA